AGUCAGGGUGAUUUGGCUGUGGCAUUUCUUGCCCCAUUUUGCGCCGAAUUGAUCUGGCUGGUUGGGGAGGUAUCUCUGUGGGCCAUUACCGCUCUUAUAUGCAUCCUUCCCGAAGCUGCGCGGUCGCGAUCGGUCAAAGAGGACUACCUUGACCGAAUAGCGGAGGAUCGUACCGGUCUUCGGUCAAGGUUAUAUACCUAGUAGCUGUGGAUCAGAAUUACCGCGUUUCCACUAGAACCUCUGAUUAAGCUUUUAAGGUCCACUGCAGAUUCUCUUCUGAGAUAAACAAUAUUAGCUGUUUUU
Molecule: non-coding RNA, 303 nt
Organism: Mesocricetus auratus (golden hamster)
Lineage: Eukaryota; Metazoa; Chordata; Mammalia; Rodentia; Cricetidae
Source: Rfam